RNAcentral lists this ribosomal RNA (253 nucleotides) under uncultured bacterium. RNAcentral describes it as "partial 16S ribosomal RNA". It matches the Rfam family "Bacterial small subunit ribosomal RNA", at positions 524 to 776 of the family's 1533-position model. The record is from RNAcentral.
UACGGAGGGUGCAAGCGUUAUCCGGAUUCACUGGGUUUAAAGGGUGCGUAGGCGGGCAGGUAAGUCCGUGGUGAAAUCUCUGAGCUUAACUCAGAAACUGCCAUGGAUACUAUUUGUCUUGAAUGUUGUGGAGGUAAGCGGAAUAUGUCAUGUAGCGGUGAAAUGCUUAGAUAUGACAUAGAACACCCAUUGCGAAGGCAGCUUACUACUCAAAUAUUGACGCUGAGGCACGAAAGCGUGGGGAUCAAACAGG